ACUAGAUGAGCCUAUAUUAGAUUAGCUAGUUGGUGGGGUAAUAGCCUACCAAGGUAAUGAUCUAUAGCUGAUCUGAGAGGAUGAUCAGCCACACUGGAACUGAGAUACGGUCCAGACUCCUACGGGAGGCAGCAGUGGGGAAUAUUGGACAAUGGGCGAAAGCCUGAUCCAGCCACGCCGCAUGAGUGAAGAAGGCCUUUGGGUUGUAAAGCUCUUUUAGUGAGGAAGAUAAUGACGGUACUCACAGAAGAAGUCCUGGCUAACUCCGUGCCAGCAGCCGCGGUAAUACGGAGAGGGCUAGCAUUAUUCGGAAUUAUUGGGCGUAAAGGGCGCGUAGGCUGGUUAAUAAGUUAAAAGUGAAAUCCCGAGGCUUAACCUUGGAAUUGCUUUUAAAACUAUUAAUCUAGAGAUUGAAAGAGGAUAGAGGAAUUCCUGAUGUAGAGGUAAAAUUCGUAAAUAUUAGGAGGAACACCAGUGGCGAAGGCGUCUAUCUGGUUCAAAUCUGACGCUGAAGCGCGAAGGCGUGGGGAGCAAACAGGAUUAGAUACCCUGGUAGUCCACGCUGUAAACGAUGAAUGUUAAAUAUGGGGAG
This 592-nucleotide ribosomal RNA is filed under the name Wolbachia sp. RNAcentral's name for it is "bacterial SSU rRNA". It matches the Rfam family "Bacterial small subunit ribosomal RNA", at positions 220 to 829 of the family's 1533-position model. Lineage: Bacteria; Pseudomonadati; Pseudomonadota; Alphaproteobacteria; Rickettsiales; Anaplasmataceae. The record is from RNAcentral.